RNAcentral lists this unclassified non-coding RNA (394 nucleotides) under Hevea brasiliensis (rubber tree). Lineage: Eukaryota; Viridiplantae; Streptophyta; Magnoliopsida; Malpighiales; Euphorbiaceae. The record is from RNAcentral.
UGUAAUGCUAAUCCCCCUUCGACAUAUUUGUGGCAGAUGAAACACGUGAUUGUUUGAUGCACAGUUUUUGCAUUAUCAUGGUCGGAAUUGGAAAAUUAUGGAGUGUUUAUAUCAUUCGACAUCCAUGGUAUUAGCUAUUAUCAUAUGUACCAAACUUCACUGCUAUAUAUAUUUGGGAUUUCUUUCUAUCUGUAUGGGAAAAAGUAGUGAAAUAAAAUAAGAGAUGCAUUGAUAGAACUAUGAGAAAUGAACUCUUAUCUAAGAAGAACACUCUAGCAACCAAUUUACAAUUGGAAACUAGAGGCUAAAGAAACAAAAUUGUAAAAUUAAUUGCAAGAGGCUUCUUAACAUAGGAGUUUCGGCCAUUCACCUACCCCCCACACCCGCGUCACCG